GACGAACGCUGGCGGCGUGCUUAACACAUGCAAGUCGAACGGAAAGGCCCUGCUUUUGUGGGGUGCUCGAGUGGCGAACGGGUGAGUAACACGUGAGUAACCUGCCCUUGACUUUGGGAUAACUUCAGGAAACUGGGGCUAAUACCGGAUAGGAGCUCCUGCUGCAUGGUGGGGGUUGGAAAGUUUCGGCGGUUGGGGAUGGACUCGCGGCUUAUCAGCUUGUUGGUGGGGUAGUGGCUUACCAAGGCUUUGACGGGUAGCCGGCCUGAGAGGGUGACCGGCACAUUGGGAAUGAGGAUCCGGCCCGGCUCCUUAGGGGGGCAAGAGUGGGGAAUUGUGCACAAUGGGCGGGAGGCUUAUGCAGGCACCCCGGGUUCGGGAAGACCGGCUUUCGGUUGGAAACCGCCUUUGGCUUUGGCGAAGCGUGAGUGACGGUAAUGGGUAAAGAAGCACCGGCUAACUACGUG
RNAcentral lists this ribosomal RNA (467 nucleotides) under uncultured bacterium. RNAcentral's name for it is "partial 16S ribosomal RNA". It matches the Rfam family "Bacterial small subunit ribosomal RNA", at positions 28 to 507 of the family's 1533-position model. The record is from RNAcentral.